RNAcentral lists this ribosomal RNA (497 nucleotides) under uncultured bacterium. Its description in RNAcentral is "partial 16S ribosomal RNA". It matches the Rfam family "Bacterial small subunit ribosomal RNA", at positions 28 to 507 of the family's 1533-position model. The record is from RNAcentral.
GAUGAACGCUGGCGGCGUGCCUAAUACAUGCAAGUCGAGCGAACAGACGAGGAGCUUGCGCCUCUGACUUUGUCGGCGGACGGGAGCUUAACACGUGGAUAGCCUACCUAUCCGACAGGGAUAACUUCGGGAAACCAUGGCUACGACCGGAUGAUAUAUUGAACCGCGUGGUUCAAUCGUUAAAUUCGGUUUUUCGGUCACUUAUAGCUGGCUCCGCGACGCAUUAGCUAGUGGGUAAAGUAACUGCUUACCAACGCAAGGAUGGGUAGCCGACCUAAGAGGGUGAUAGGCCACACUGGAACUGAGACACGGUCCAGACUCCUACGGGAGGGAGCAGUAGGGAAUCUCCAGGAAUGGGCGAAAGCCUGAAGAAGCAACGCCGCGUGAGUGAUGAAGGUCUUCGGAUCGUAAAACUGUGUUAUGAGGGAAGAAUAAAUGGCUCAGUAACUCUGCACGUUUUGACGGUACCCAAUAAGAAAGCCACGGCCAACUACGUG